RNAcentral lists this ribosomal RNA (253 nucleotides) under uncultured bacterium. RNAcentral's name for it is "partial 16S ribosomal RNA". It matches the Rfam family "Bacterial small subunit ribosomal RNA", at positions 524 to 776 of the family's 1533-position model. The record is from RNAcentral.
UACGUAGGGGGCAAGCGUUAUCCGGAUUUACUGGGUGUAAAGGGAGCGUAGACGGUAAUGUAAGUCUGAUGUGAAAGCCCGGGGCUCAACCCCGGGACUGCAUUGGAAACUAUGUAACUAGAGUACCGGAGAGGUAAGCGGAAUUCCUAGUGUAGCGGUGAAAUGCGUAGAUAUCAGGAGGAACACCAGUGGCGAAGGCGGCUUACUGGACGGAAACUGACGUUGAGGCUCGAAAGCGUGGGGAGCAAACAGG